Molecule: ribosomal RNA, 269 nt
Filed under: uncultured bacterium
Lineage: Bacteria
Description: partial 16S ribosomal RNA
Rfam family: Bacterial small subunit ribosomal RNA
Source: RNAcentral
CCCGGCGACCGGCGCACGGGUGAGUAACACGUAUGCAACCUGGCCGCCACAGGGGAAUAACCCGCGGAAACGCGGCCUAAUACCCCGUGACGCCACCGGAGGGCAUCCUCCGGUGGCCAAAGGAGCGAUCCGGUGGCGGAUGGGCAUGCGGCGCAUUAGCUAGACGGCGGGGUGACGGCUCACCGUGGCGACGAUGCGUAGGGGUUCUGAGAGGAAGGCCCCCCACACUGGGACUGAGACACGGCCCAGACUCCUACGGGAGGCAGCAG